UGGAGUGGCAUCAUUUAAAAGCUAAAACAAUGCAAAGUACAUUGUGACCAGCAAAGUAUAACAACAUUUGACAGUCUGAUCAAUCAAUAC
Molecule: long non-coding RNA, 90 nt
Organism: Octopus sinensis (East Asian common octopus)
Lineage: Eukaryota; Metazoa; Mollusca; Cephalopoda; Octopoda; Octopodidae
Exons: 3
Source: RefSeq, a predicted model, not a curated record